UUUUCUCUUUCUUUUGUUCCUGGACUUUUUUGACUUCAAGACAGUACUUAAUAAUUUAAUAAUGUAUAGUACCACUCUCUCUCCAUCUUGUAGGUGAUUUUUUUAGAAAUUGUUCAAAAGAAGGUGCUCAUUGAAGUUGUUGCCAUUAGUUACGAUAAGCCACGUCCACUUAAAACAUACAAGCUGCAAGGGAGCUGAUUUUAGCAGGUGUUGCAUUGAAGCUAAAAUAAAAAUUAAAUCUUCUGUUGAUAGUGUCAGUGCCUAUAUUGAGUCAAAUUUUACAUCAGUGUCAAUCGGGUACAAAAUAAGUUUUUAGUAAAAAUAUAAUUUUAAAUUUUCUAAGUAUUCAGGAGGUUGAUUUGACCUUUGUGUGUUCCGGUGACCUUUCAAACUGAAGCCCAUAUCAUGACCCACAGGAUUGAAUUGAUCAUACACCUCUCUACCUCUCGGACUUUCUGCAUCACAAGAUAGUCAGCAUAAAGGGAAAAUCCAACUUCAUGGGUUUUAUUUUCGUCCUUCUGAUCUGUAAGAAUUGAGCCACACCCAACAACCCCACCCAUAACACCCACGUGUACAUGUGUUAGUGCUAACCCGACGAAGAUGAACCCCGGAUUGAGCUCUCCCACAGCAAAUUUUGUGGGUUUAAUUUUCGUUUUUGGAGCUUGGAGAACGAAAGUUUGACCGAACAGAAGAAACCCGCUAUACGUUAAAGCUAUGGGAUGAGAUGGAGUGUUAUUAGGCUCACCAAUCCAUGCACUAAUUACAGUACAUACAGCUCUCUCAAAGGAUAGUAAUUGCUGGUUAGUUGAUUAGAGGCUAGUGGAAAGUGAAUCAUGUUUGAAGAUUAAAGAAGCGGCUGGCACUGAGCAUGUUUGGACUGCUGACGAUUUAAAGCUAACAAAUACAAAAAGUUUUUAUUUUGGCAAUGAAUUUUGUAUAAUUACAUGUAUUAUUAUGUUUACAAUAAUAAAACUAUUAU
Molecule: long non-coding RNA, 979 nt
Organism: Amphimedon queenslandica
Lineage: Eukaryota; Metazoa; Porifera; Demospongiae; Haplosclerida; Niphatidae
Exons: 5
Source: RefSeq, a predicted model, not a curated record